Molecule: long non-coding RNA, 559 nt
Filed under: Homo sapiens (human)
Lineage: Eukaryota; Metazoa; Chordata; Mammalia; Primates; Hominidae
Description: HSALNT0101099
Source: RNAcentral
GCUACCAUAUUUUACAGUGCAAGGCUAGCCACAGUCAUUUAUAGCCGUUAUUCCAUCCUGGGGAGUUUGCACUUUAUCAUAGGCAGGUGGCAAUGGGGGAAGAAUGAAGAUGAUGGCAACACAGAAGAGAAUCAGAAUAAUUAAAUUUGCUUUUUGGAAAGUUCACCUGCUGCUGCAGCUGUAUGGAGGAUGAACUGGGAUGAGUGAAGAAAGCUUGGAAAUUGGCAGACCAUGGGGUGACCAUGGCAGUUGCCCAGGAGAGAACUUGGAAGCUAGGAUAAGGUUGCAGCAAUGAGGAUGAAGAGGAGAAUGGAGCUGAAGGAUGCUACCACCAGACUACUACUCCUCGCUUCAUGGUCCCAGUUGAUGCUGGACAGCCUCCACUCUGGUUCUCGAUGUAAAGCUCUGACUUCUGGGCUCUGUCAAGACCACAACCUUCAUUGUCCCUCCAGGCCUAAAGGCAAUACCUUUUUCCUGCUGUUGUUGGUCCUUGGAUUGACUCACUAUUCCCCAUUUGGCUCUUCAGUUAUCAUCUUUACAAAUUCCAACACUGAAUUUC